Small nuclear RNA from Rhinichthys klamathensis goyatoka, 159 nucleotides. RefSeq annotates it as U1 spliceosomal RNA. NCBI's taxonomy places the organism in Eukaryota, Metazoa, Chordata, Actinopteri, Cypriniformes, Leuciscidae. The record is from RefSeq and is a predicted model, not a curated record. The transcript has a single exon.
AUACUUACCUGGAGACACCUUGAUCAUAACGGUGGCUUUCCCAAGGCGAGACUCAGCCAUUGCACUCUCGGCUUUGAUGACCUUUGCGAAUUCCCCAAAUGUGGGAAUCUAGACUGCAGAAUUUAUGAUAGUGGGGGACUGCGUUCGCUCUCUUCCCUA